GAUUACCAUGUUUUGCGUUUCCUUAAUUAUUUUAGUUUACAACAACUUUCAAUAAGAAACAGAACAUAUAAGUGUGUCUGGUUUGCUCUUGAAGCAACUCCAAAUCCAAAGCUCCAAAAAGUUUUCUACUUCUUGGGUUGUUCAACUAGAACAUGACUUAUUGGCACUAACUAGAUUCGUAUUGGCUUUUGUUUUUCAGAUUUG
This is a long non-coding RNA of Arabidopsis thaliana (thale cress), 204 nucleotides long. RefSeq annotates it as other RNA. NCBI's taxonomy places the organism in Eukaryota, Viridiplantae, Streptophyta, Magnoliopsida, Brassicales, Brassicaceae. The record is from RefSeq. The transcript has a single exon.